AGUGGGAUAGCUGGGUCAAAUGGUGGUUAAUUCCCAGUUUUCCAAGGAAUCUUCUUACUGCUUUCCAUAUUGACUGCACCAAUUUGCAGUCCCACCAGCAAU
This 102-nucleotide microRNA precursor is filed under the name Marmota monax (woodchuck). Lineage: Eukaryota; Metazoa; Chordata; Mammalia; Rodentia; Sciuridae. The record is from RNAcentral.